This 252-nucleotide ribosomal RNA is filed under the name uncultured bacterium. RNAcentral's name for it is "partial 16S ribosomal RNA". It matches the Rfam family "Bacterial small subunit ribosomal RNA", at positions 525 to 776 of the family's 1533-position model. The record is from RNAcentral.
ACAGAGGGUGCAAGCGUUAAUCGGAAUUACUGGGCGUAAAGGGAGCGUAGGUGGCUCGAUAAGUCAGAUGUGAAAUCCCCGGGCUCAACCUGGGAACUGCAUCUGAUACUGUUGAGCUAGAGUAUGUGAGAGGAAGGUAGAAUUCCAGGUGUAGCGGUGAAAUGCGUAGAGAUCUGGAGGAAUACCGAUGGCGAAGGCAGCCUUCUGGCAUAAUACUGACACUGAGGCUCGAAAGCGUGGGUAGCAAACAGG